GACGAACGCUGGCGGCGUGCUUAACACAUGCAAGUCGAGCGGUAAGGCCCUUUCGGGGGUACACGAGCGGCGAACGGGUGAGUAACACGUGGGUGACCUGCCCUCAGCUCUGGGAUAAGCCUGGGAAACUGGGUCUAAUACCGGAUAUGACCUCCUAUCGCAUGGUGGGUGGUGGAAAGUUUUUUCGGCCGGGGAUGGGCCCGCGGCCUAUCAGCUUGUUGGUGGGGUUAUGGCCUACCAAGGCGACGACGGGUAGCCGGCCUGAGAGGGCGAGAGACCACACUGCGAGUGGGACACGGCCCAGACUACUGCGGGAGGAAGCAGUGGGGAAGAUUGCGCAAGGGGAGAACGCCUGACGCAGCGACGCCGCGUGGGGGAUGACGGCCUUCGGGUUGUAAACCUCUUUCGACCUUGACGAAGGCCUUCGGGUAGACGGUAGGGGUAGAAGAAGCACCGGCCAACUACGUGCCAGCCGCCGCCGUAA
This 484-nucleotide ribosomal RNA is filed under the name uncultured bacterium. RNAcentral's name for it is "partial 16S ribosomal RNA". It matches the Rfam family "Bacterial small subunit ribosomal RNA", at positions 28 to 523 of the family's 1533-position model. The record is from RNAcentral.